Molecule: ribosomal RNA, 755 nt
Filed under: Salmonella enterica subsp. enterica serovar Cerro
Lineage: Bacteria; Pseudomonadati; Pseudomonadota; Gammaproteobacteria; Enterobacterales; Enterobacteriaceae
Description: partial 23S ribosomal RNA
Rfam family: Bacterial large subunit ribosomal RNA
Source: RNAcentral
GGGUUGUGAGGUUAAGCGACUAAGCGUACACGGUGGAUGCCCUGGCAGUCAGAGGCGAUGAAGGGCGUGCUAAUCUGCGAUAAGCGCCGGUAAGGUGAUAUGAACCGUUAUAACCGGCGAUACCCGAAUGGGGAAACCCAGUGUGAUUCGUCACACUAUCAUUAACUGAAUCCAUAGGUUAAUGAGGCGAACCGGGGGAACUGAAACAUCUAAGUACCCCGAGGAAAAGAAAUCAACCGAGAUUCCCCCAGUAGCGGCGAGCGAACGGGGAGGAGCCCAGAGCCUGAAUCAGCAUGUGUGUUAGUGGAAGCGUCUGGAAAGGCGCGCGAUACAGGGUGACAGCCCCGUACACAAAAGCGCAUGUGCUGUGAGCUCGAUGAGUAGGGCGGGACACGUGGUAUCCUGUCUGAAUAUGGGGGGACCAUCCUCCAAGGCUAAAUACUCCUGACUGACCGAUAGUGAACCAGUACCGUGAGGGAAAGGCGAAAAGAACCCCGGCGAGGGGAGUGAAAAAGAACCUGAAACCGUGUACGUACAAGCAGUGGGAGCCCCACCACUAAGCCAGUGGUGAACUCCACAUACGCAUCCUUUGCUGAGGAUACGGUUAACGGAGCGAAAGCGAUGUUCAACCGCAAAACAAGCAGAGGGGGCUUAGUGGUGGGGUGACUGCGUACCUUUUGUAUAAUGGGUCAGCGACUUAUAUUCUGUAGCAAGGUUAACCGUAUAGGGGAGCCGGAGGGAAACCGAGUCUUAAC